UUAAAGACUGUUGAUAGAAUACAUGUAUCACCUAGCUCCCUUUCUAUUAUUCUAUUAUCAUCUUAAUGUAAAACAUUACCAACUGGUUGUGGUUACAUACACGAGGUUGACGAAACACUAUCACUAUGGGAUUUUUUAAACCACAAAAGAUCUACCAAGAGUCGAGAGAGAGCGCAAUAGUAGCAGAUUGAACCUUGAUAAAUUGGCAUG
RNAcentral lists this long non-coding RNA (210 nucleotides) under Linum usitatissimum (flax). RNAcentral describes it as "long non-coding RNA (LUSI_LNC003894)". Lineage: Eukaryota; Viridiplantae; Streptophyta; Magnoliopsida; Malpighiales; Linaceae. The record is from RNAcentral.